RNAcentral lists this ribosomal RNA (450 nucleotides) under uncultured bacterium. RNAcentral describes it as "bacterial SSU rRNA". It matches the Rfam family "Bacterial small subunit ribosomal RNA", at positions 354 to 796 of the family's 1533-position model. The record is from RNAcentral.
GUGGGGAAUCUUGCGCAAUGCGCGAAAGCGUGACGCAGCAACGCCGCGUGGGGGAAGACGGCCUUCGGGUUGUAAACCCCUUUCAGGAGGGACGAAGGCAGAGCGGUUAAUAGCCGACUCGGUUGACGGUACCUCCAUAAGAAGCCCCGGCUAACUACGUGCCAGCAGCCGCGGUAAUACGUAGGGGGCAAGCGUUGUCCGGAAUCAUUGGGCGUAAAGAGCGUGUAGGCGGUCCGAUUAGUCGGCUGUGAAAGUCCAGGGCUCAACCCUGGGAUGCCGGUCGAUACUGUCGGACUAGAGUCCGGAAGAGGCAAGUGGAAUUCCCGGUGUAGCGGUGAAAUGCGCAGAUAUCGGGAGGAACACCAAUGGCGAAGGCAGCUUGCUGGGACGGUACUGACGCUGAGACGCGAAAGCGUGGGGAGCAAACAGGAUUAGAUACCCUUGUAGUCC